AACGAACGCUGGCGGCAUGCCUAACACAUGCAAGUCGAACGAGACCUUCGGGUAUAGUGGCGCACGGGUGCGUAACGCGUGGGAACCUGCCCUUAGGUUCGGAAUAACUCCCCGAAAGGGGUGCUAAUACCGGAUAAUGUCUUCGGACCAAAGAUUUAUCGCCUUUGGAUGGGCCCUCGUUGGAUUCGCUAGUUGGUAGGGUAAAAGCCUACCAAGGCGACGAUCCAUAGCUGGUCUGAGAGGAUGAUCAGCCACACUGGGACUGAGAUACGGCCCAGACUCCUACGGGAGGCAGCAGUGGGGAAUAUUGGACAAUGGGCGAAAGCCUGAUCCAGCAAUGCCGCGUGAGUGAUGAAGGCCUUAGGGUUGUAAAGCUCUUUUACCCGUGAUGAUAAUGACAGUACCGGGAGAAUAAGCUCCGGCUAACUCCGUG
RNAcentral lists this ribosomal RNA (433 nucleotides) under uncultured bacterium. Its description in RNAcentral is "partial 16S ribosomal RNA". It matches the Rfam family "Bacterial small subunit ribosomal RNA", at positions 29 to 507 of the family's 1533-position model. The record is from RNAcentral.